AGUGAACGCUGGCGGUAGGCCUAACACAUGCAAGUCGAACGGCAGCACAGUAAGAGCUUGCUCUUACGGGUGGCGAGUGGCGGACGGGUGAGGAAUGCAUCGGAAUCUACUUUUUCGUGGGGGAUAACGUAGGGAAACUUCCGCUAAUACCGCAUACGACUUACGGGUGAAAGCAGGGAAUCUUCGAACUUUGCCCGAUGGAUUUAGCGGAUGUCGGAUUAGCUAGUUGGCGGGGUAAAGGCCCACCAAGCCGACGAUCCGUAGCUGGUCUGAGAGGAUGAUCAGCCACACUGGAACUGAGACACGGUCCAGACUCCUACGGGAGGCAGCAGUGGGGAAUAUUGGACAAUGGGCGCAAGCCUGAUCCAGCCAUACCGCGUGGGUGAAGAAGGCCUUCGGGUUGUAAAGCCCUUUUGUUGGGAAAGAAAAGCAGCAGGUUAAUACCCCGCUGUUCUGACGGUACCCAAAGAAUAAGCACCGGCUAACUUCGUG
This 492-nucleotide ribosomal RNA is filed under the name uncultured bacterium. Its description in RNAcentral is "partial 16S ribosomal RNA". It matches the Rfam family "Bacterial small subunit ribosomal RNA", at positions 29 to 507 of the family's 1533-position model. The record is from RNAcentral.